UAGGGAAUAUUGGACAAUGGGUGAGAGCCUGAUCCAGCCAUGCCGCGUGCAGGAAGAAGGCGUUAUGCGUUGUAAACUGCUUUUUGCCAGGGGAUAAAAAGACCGUGCGCGGUUAAUUGAAGGUACCUGGUGAAUAAGCCACGGCUAACUACGUGCCAGCAGCCGCGGUAAUACGUAGGUGGCAAGCGUUGUCCGGAUUUAUUGGGUUUAAAGGGUGCGUAGGUGGCCCUGUAAGUCAGUGGUGAAAUAUCUCAGCUUAACUGAGAGGGUGCCAUUGAUACUGCAGGGCUUGAGUACAGAUGAGGUAGGCGGAAUUGACGGUGUAGCGGUGAAAUGCAUAGAUAUCGUCAAGAACACCGAUAGCGAAGGCAGCUUACCAAGCUGUAACUGACACUGAGGCACGAAAGCGUGGGUAGCGAACAGGAUUAGAUACCCCCGUAGUCCCUGAGCGGGCUGGCAAGGCGCAU
Molecule: ribosomal RNA, 467 nt
Filed under: uncultured bacterium
Lineage: Bacteria
Description: bacterial SSU rRNA
Rfam family: Bacterial small subunit ribosomal RNA
Source: RNAcentral